This is an unclassified non-coding RNA of Macaca mulatta (Rhesus monkey), 148 nucleotides long. It matches the Rfam family "Metazoan signal recognition particle RNA". From Rfam's summary of the family: The signal recognition particle (SRP) is a universally conserved ribonucleoprotein. It is involved in the co-translational targeting of proteins to membranes. The eukaryotic SRP consists of a 300-nucleotide 7S RNA and six proteins: SRPs 72, 68, 54, 19, 14, and 9. Lineage: Eukaryota; Metazoa; Chordata; Mammalia; Primates; Cercopithecidae. The record is from Ensembl.
GCCAGGUGUGGUGGUGUGCACCUGUGGUCCCAGUUACUUGGGAGGCUGAGGCUGGAGGAUUGCUUGAGCCCAGGAAGUUAAGGCUGCAGUGAGCCGAGAUCACACCACUGCACUCCAGCCUGGGUGACAGAGCAAGACCCUGUCUCUU